CAGUCGCCGCGGUAAUACAGAGGGUGCGAGCGUUAAUCGGAUUUACUGGGCGUAAAGCGCACGCAGGCGGUCUGUCAAGUCGGAUGUGAAAUCCCCGGGCUCAACCUGGGAACUGCAUUCGAAACUGGCAGGCUAGAGUCUUGUAGAGGGGGGUAGAAUUCCAGGUGUAGCGGUGAAAUGCGUAGAGAUCUGGAGGAAUACCGGUGGCGAAGGCGGCCCCCUGGACAAAGACUGACGCUCAGGUGCGAAAGCGUGGGGAGCAAACAGGAUUAGAUACCCCGGUAGUCCCUGUCUCUUAUAC
Molecule: ribosomal RNA, 301 nt
Filed under: uncultured bacterium
Lineage: Bacteria
Description: partial 16S ribosomal RNA
Rfam family: Bacterial small subunit ribosomal RNA
Source: RNAcentral